AACCUCCGCAAUGUGAGAAAUCGCGACGGGGGGAUCCCAAGUGCCAUUCUUAACGGGAUGGCUUUUCAUUAGUGUAAAAAGCUUUUGGAAUAAGAGCUGGGCAAGACCGGUGCCAGCCGCCGCGGUAACACCGGCAGCUCUAGUGGUAGCAAUUUUUAUUGGGCCUAAAGCGUCCGUAGCCGGUUUAAUAAGUCUCUGGUGAAAUCCUGUAGCUUAACUGUGGGAAUUGCUGGAGAUACUAUUAGACUUGAGACCGGGAGAGGUUAGAGGUACUCCCAGGGUAGAGGUGAAAUUCUGUAAUCCUGGGAGGACCGCCUGUUGCGAAGGCGUCUAACUGGAACGGUUCUGACGGUGAGGGACGAAAGUUAGGGGCGCGAACCGGAUUAGAUACCCGGGUAGUCCUAACUGUAAACGAUGCGGACUUGGUGUUGGGGUGGCCUUGAGCUGCUCCAGUGCCGAAGGGAAGCUGUUAAGUCCGCCGCCUGGGAAGUACGGUCGCAAGACUGAAACUUAAAGGAAUU
This 521-nucleotide ribosomal RNA is filed under the name uncultured bacterium. RNAcentral's name for it is "bacterial SSU rRNA". It matches the Rfam family "Archaeal small subunit ribosomal RNA", at positions 345 to 866 of the family's 1478-position model. The record is from RNAcentral.